RNAcentral lists this ribosomal RNA (503 nucleotides) under uncultured bacterium. RNAcentral's name for it is "partial 16S ribosomal RNA". It matches the Rfam family "Bacterial small subunit ribosomal RNA", at positions 30 to 523 of the family's 1533-position model. The record is from RNAcentral.
AUUGAACGCUGGCGGCAGGCUUAACACAUGCAAGUCGAGCGGGGUGAUGGUGCUUGCACUAUCACUUAGCGGCGGACGGGUGAAUAAUGCUUAGGAAUCUGCCUAUUAGUGGGGGACAACAUCUCGAAAGGGAUGCUAAUACCGCAUACGUCCUACGGGAGAAAGCAGGGGAUCACUUGUGACCUUGCGCUAAUAGAUGAGCCUAAGUCGGAUUAGCUAGUUGGUGGGGUAAAGGCCUACCAAGGCGACGAUCUGUAGCGGGUCUGAGAGGAUGAUCCGCCACACUGGGACUGAGACACGGCCCAGACUCCUACGGGAGGCAGCAGUGGGGAAUAUUGGACAAUGGGGGGAACCCUGAUCCAGCCAUGCCGCGUGUGUGAAGAAGGCCUUAUGGUUGUAAAGCAAUUUAAGCGAGGAGGAGGCUCUUUUGGUUAAUACCCAAGAUGAGUGGACGUUACUCGCAGAAUAAGCACCGGCUAACUCUGUGCCAGCAGCCGCGGUAA